UCCUAACAGAUACAAACUAGAAAUACCUGGGAGAGAGAGCUUCUAUGAAUCACCUGCCUGUUCUUCCAGUUUCCGAUGAGGAUUGAGGAGAAAGACUCUUCAGGAAUCCUCCAGGCCUUUGGUGCCAGAUGGAUAUUGCUGAGACAUCAGCCUCAUGGACUGAGCAAGUACUGGGCUUCACCCUCUUCCCUGAGACAGCCAUUGUUGGACUAUUCUGACCACAACCUGUUCUGCUGCCCUAUGUUGGCCUCCCUGAGCACCAUGUGUGCAUAUGAUACACAUACAAAACAAUAAUGAAGAGGAAACAACUUUAGGGACAUGGAGGGAAUGGAGGCAUGUUGCUUAUCUCCAACAAGUAGUCUCACUUUUAACAUGCUGAAACACUCCAGUCAUAGCC
Mus caroli (Ryukyu mouse) is the source of this 397-nucleotide long non-coding RNA. RefSeq lists it as uncharacterized. The record is from RefSeq and is a predicted model, not a curated record. NCBI's taxonomy places the organism in Eukaryota, Metazoa, Chordata, Mammalia, Rodentia, Muridae.